GGGGCGAGGCUCUUCGGAGCGAGUAAGUGGCGGACGGGUGAGUAACGCGUGGGAAUCUGCCCAGUAGUUGGGAACCACUUGGGGAAACUCGAGCUAAUACCGAAUACGCCCUACGGGGGAAAGGCUUCGGCCGCUAUUGGAUGAGCCCGCGUAAGAUUAGCUUGUUGGUGGGGUAAUGGCCUACCAAGGCGACGACCUUUAGCUGGUCUGAGAGGACGAUCAGCCACACUGGGACUGAGACACGGCCCAGACUCCUACGGGAGGCAGCAGUGGGGAAUAUUGGACAAUGGGGGAAACCCUGAUCCAGCAAUGCCGCGUGUGUGAAGAAGGCCUGCGGGUUGUAAAGCACUUUCAGUAGGGAAGAAAAAAAUGACGGUACCUACAAAAGAAGCACCGGCUAACUCCGUGCCAGCAGCCGCGGUAAUACGGAGGGUGCGAGCGUUAAUCGGAAUUACUGGGCGUAAAGCGCACGUAGGUGGUUUGAUAAGUCGGAUGUGAAAUCCCCGGGCUUAACCUGGGAAUUGCAUUCGAUACUGUCUCACUAGAGUCUAGCAGAGGAAUGCGGAAUUCCGGGUGUAGCGGUGAAAUGCGUAGAGAUCCGGAGGAACAUCAGUGGCGAAGGCGGCAUUCUGGGCUGAGACUGACACUGA
RNAcentral lists this ribosomal RNA (650 nucleotides) under uncultured bacterium. Its description in RNAcentral is "bacterial SSU rRNA". It matches the Rfam family "Bacterial small subunit ribosomal RNA", at positions 68 to 749 of the family's 1533-position model. The record is from RNAcentral.